AACGAGUUUUAUGACCUAAAAAACCCCACAGGCUGGUCUGAAGAGGAAGACACUUAAAGAUGAAGUGCUUAAUUCAAGGUCACAGAAUGUCGGGGAUGGACCUCCAGAUUUCCUUACUGACCUGCAUUAUCUUGUGGAUACCUGAGUGAAUUCCACACCACCCAUUUUAUAGAUGAAGCCACUGAGACGUGGAGCAACUGACUGAGUAGUCACUGCCCCACCCCUGCCUGGAGCCUCACACAUGACUUCUCUUAGUGACCACAGGUUGGUUGAGGGGUUUAACAAGGCUAAGAAGGUGAGACGUGGUCUUGUAACACAGUGGUUAAGAAUGUGACUUUGGAGCCAGCCUGCUAGGGGCUGAAUUCUGACUCAGCCAUUUAUUAACUGUGUGACCUUAGGGAGGAGGACCUGGUUGAUAGAAGAAUUUAUCUCAUAGUCUUAACAUCCACUGUAAUUCCGAACUUUGAGGACGAUAGAGAUCAGUGGGCUUUGACUGCCCAGCAUGCAGUCUCCAUUCUUAGGUAGGUUCCCAAGCCUGUAAAAUGUAAGUCUUAUGUUGCUGAGGGCCAUCUUGCCACCCCGAGGGGAACGCUGCCUGAGAAUGAAACCAGCAUAAGUAAAAGCUGAGCUGUGAGAUGGAGUGAGAUGAAGGCCACAUGACAUCUUUGGAGCACCUGGAUCUAACUGUGCCUUAAGCUAGUCUAACCCUGAACAUUUCAUUGACAUGGGCCCAGGUUUUCCCUUUUUUUUUUUUUUUUUUUUGGAUGGAGUCUCACUCUGUCGCCCAGGCUGGAGUGCAGUGGUGCAAUCUCGGCUCACUGCAAGCUCCGCCUCCCGGGUUCACGCCAUUCUCCUGCCUUAGCCUCCCAAGUAGCUGGGACUACAGGCUCC
Molecule: non-coding RNA, 891 nt
Filed under: Pongo abelii (Sumatran orangutan)
Lineage: Eukaryota; Metazoa; Chordata; Mammalia; Primates; Hominidae
Source: RNAcentral